RNAcentral lists this ribosomal RNA (479 nucleotides) under uncultured bacterium. RNAcentral describes it as "partial 16S ribosomal RNA". It matches the Rfam family "Bacterial small subunit ribosomal RNA", at positions 28 to 507 of the family's 1533-position model. The record is from RNAcentral.
GAUGAACGCUGGCGGCGUGCUUAACACAUGCAAGUCGAGCGAGAAGUUUUGAAAAGAUUCUUCGGAUGAAAUUUAAAAUGGAAAGCGGCGGACGGGUGAGUAACGCGUAGGCAACCUGCCCCAUACAAAGGGAUAGCAUUUGGAAACGAAUAUUAAUACCUUAUGAAACUUAACUAGUGCAUGCUAGGUAGGUCGAAGAUUUAUCGGUAUGGGAUGGGCCUGCGUCUGAUUAGCUAGUUGGUGAGGUAACGGCUCACCAAGGCGACGAUCAGUAGCCGACCUGAGAGGGUGAACGGCCACAUUGGAACUGAGACACGGUCCAAACUCCUACGGGAGGCAGCAGUGGGGAAUAUUGCACAAUGGGGGAAACCCUGAUGCAGCAACGCCGCGUGAACGAUGAAGGCCUUUGGGUCGUAAAGUUCUGUUCUAGGUGAUGAAAACUGACAGUAACCUAGGAGAAAGCCCCGGCUAACUCCGUG